This 72-nucleotide transfer RNA is filed under the name Gemmataceae bacterium. RNAcentral's name for it is "tRNA-Gly". It matches the Rfam family "tRNA". Rfam says of the family: Transfer RNA (tRNA) molecules are approximately 80 nucleotides in length. Their secondary structure includes four short double-helical elements and three loops (D, anti-codon, and T loops). Lineage: Bacteria; Pseudomonadati; Planctomycetota; Planctomycetia; Gemmatales; Gemmataceae. RNAcentral also lists the same sequence under 2 other names. The record is from RNAcentral.
GCGUCUGUGACGUAGUUGGGAACGUACCGGCUCGCCAUGUCGGAAUCGCGGGUUCAAACCCCGCCAGACGCU